AUUGAACGCUGGCGGCAGGCCUAACACAUGCAAGUCGAGCGGUAGAGCGAAGCUUGCUUCUCUUGAGAGCGGCGGACGGGUGAGUAAUGCCUAGGAAUCUGCCUGGUAGUGGGGGAUAACGUUCGGAAACGGACGCUAAUACCGCAUACGUCCUACGGGAGAAAGCAGGGGACCUUCGGGCCUUGCGCUAUCAGAUGAGCCUAGGUCGGAUUAGCUAGUUGGUGGGGUAAUGGCUCACCAAGGCGACGAUCCGUAACUGGUCUGAGAGGAUGAUCAGUCACACUGGAACUGAGACACGGUCCAGACUCCUACGGGAGGCAGCAGUGGGGAAUAUUGGACAAUGGGCGAAAGCCUGAUCCAGCCAUGCCGCGUGUGUGAAGAAGGUCUUCGGAUUGUAAAGCACUUUAAGUUGGGGGGAAGGGCAGUAAAUUAAUACUUUGCUGUUUUGACGUUACCGACAGAAUAAGCACCGGCUAACUCUGUG
This 484-nucleotide ribosomal RNA is filed under the name uncultured bacterium. RNAcentral's name for it is "partial 16S ribosomal RNA". It matches the Rfam family "Bacterial small subunit ribosomal RNA", at positions 30 to 507 of the family's 1533-position model. The record is from RNAcentral.